Molecule: long non-coding RNA, 960 nt
Organism: Echinops telfairi (small Madagascar hedgehog)
Lineage: Eukaryota; Metazoa; Chordata; Mammalia; Afrosoricida; Tenrecidae
Exons: 2
Source: RefSeq, a predicted model, not a curated record
AAUAUGUUGUCUCUGUGAUGAAGUGCUUCCAUGGAAGAUGCUCCUCUUGUUCCUUUCAUGGCUGAGAGCACCCAGAGAUCGAGGAAUCUGCUGAUCUAGGCUAGUCUACUGGAAAGGACUUCUUCCAUAUACCUACCAUUCUCCAUGGACAACCUGGUUCUUGAGGACAUGAUCUUCUCAGGAUGACACCUGAGAUUCAAAGAACCAAGUAGAAGGAUAUAAAUCCCAUGAUGAGGCCAGAGCAAGAACAUGGCACAAGUGAAUAUGAAUUGAGGAUAAUGAUUGAAUCACCACAUUCUUAUACAUGACAUUUGUCCAUGUCACCCAUAUAAUAGUACAAGAUGAAACUUCUUACCUGCAUUGUAAACUAACUUUCUCUUAAGGUGCUCACCUUGCAAUUUAUCCCUAUGUGAGUGGGAUUUAGGGGGCUUUGACUAAAAGCACCACCUCUCUCAGACCACUUUGUGACCUUUGAGGGUGCUCAGAGUCUGGGGCUCUCAGGGCUGGGCAGUAUUUAGCCCUACAGGGCUAGUAGUGAUCGUAGUGAUCUGAGCAUUGAGUAUGGGGGUGGGUGGUAGAUUGGUCUCUGCUUUCUGCUAUCAAUGCCACUGUAGGAAAGUGCUUUUAGUUCAUUUAAAUUUCCUUUGAUGCUGUGAGGAGAGUACAAGGAAAUAUCAAUUGUCUCAGCCUCAGAGUCAAGUAUUUAGUAUUCUACCUCCUCCCUGGCUCUUCCUAUCUUAUCAAUAUGGCUUGCAUUUCUUGUGCUAGAAAACUACAGUCUUCCUGCGUUCUAUUUGGUUGCAGAUACGUGUCCAGUUUUGACUGCCCAGUAUCUGAAUAUCUGUGGUAUGGUUGAGGCAUCUCCCACCAUACACAAUUUCAAAGGAAGCAGACCCUACAUUCCACUACAAAAACCAAAUACUUCUCUGGCCUCCCUUGGAAUAAAGCCUGCAUAUUUGA